Molecule: ribosomal RNA, 314 nt
Filed under: uncultured bacterium
Lineage: Bacteria
Description: bacterial SSU rRNA
Rfam family: Bacterial small subunit ribosomal RNA
Source: RNAcentral
GCCUUACACAUGCAAGUCGAACGAGAAAGUUCCUUCGGGAACUAGUAAAGUGGCGAACGGGUGAGUAACACGUGAGUAAUCUGCCCUUGAAACCGGAAUAACCUCGCGAAAGCGGAGCUAAUACCGGAUGAUAUCUUUGAUUCUUAAGUGUUGAAGAUCAAAGGUGACCUCUUCACAAUGUUGCCGUUCAAGGAUGAGCUCGCGGCCCAUUAGCUUGUUGGUGGGGUAAAAGCCUACCAAGGCCACGAUGGGUAGCCGGCCUGAGAGGGUGAACGGCCACACUGGAACUGAGACACGGUCCAGACUCCUACGGG